Piliocolobus tephrosceles (Ugandan red Colobus) is the source of this 4461-nucleotide RNA transcript. It is a transcript of the gene named differentially expressed in FDCP 8 homolog, with no coding region annotated. The record is from RefSeq and is a predicted model, not a curated record. The transcript has 12 exons. NCBI's taxonomy places the organism in Eukaryota, Metazoa, Chordata, Mammalia, Primates, Cercopithecidae.
CAGGAAACCCAGGGCAGGCAGCCCCGGCCCAGGGGCGCGCGCCGGGCGGACUCCGGGGCUCGCAGACGCGGGGCCCGCGUGCCAUGAACCUCCGCGCCGGAGGCGGCAGCAGCGGGCGCCGGGCGGAUCGGCGCAGCGAGGCGGCCGGGCGGAUCCAGCGCAGCCGGGAGGCCGGGCAGAUGCGGGGCGGCGCGGUCAGCAGGUGGCGAACCCACGGCCAGGCUUCCGUGGCAAGCAGCCCUAGAGGAAUGACCGUCCUGUCCCUGAGAGCCCCUGGGCCCUGGCAGGCGAUCCAGGUGGGAUGCUAUGGAAUAUGAUGAGAAGCUGGCCCGGUUCCGGCAGGCGCACCUCAACCCCUUCAACAAGCAGUCUGGGCCAAGACAGCAUGAGCAGGGCCCUGGGGAGGAGGCCCCGGACGUCACUCCUGAAGAGGCCCUGCCUGAGCUGCCCCCUGGGGAGCCAGAGUUCCGCUGCCCUGAACGCGUGAUGGAUCUCGGCCUGUCUGAGGACCACUUCUCCCGCCCUGUGGGUCUGUUCCUGGCCUCUGACGUCCAGCAGCUGCGGCAGGCGAUCGAGGAGUGCAAGCAGGUGAUUCUGGAGCUGCCCGAGCAGUCUGAGAAGCAGAAGGAUGCCGUGGUGCGUCUCAUCCACCUCCGGCUGAAGCUCCAGGAGCUGAAGGACCCCAAUGAGGAUGAGCCAAACAUCCGAGUGCUCCUUGAGCACCGCUUCUACAAGGAGAAGAGCAAGAGUGUCAAGCAGACCUGUGACAAGUGUAACACCAUCAUCUGGGGGCUCAUCCAGACCUGGUACACCUGCACAGGGUGUUAUUACCGCUGUCACAGCAAGUGCUUGAACCUCAUCUCCAAACCCUGUGUGAGCUCCAAAGUCAGCCACCAAGCGGAAUACGAACUGAACAUCUGUCCUGAGACAGGGCUGGACAGCCAGGAUUACCGCUGUGCCGAGUGCCGGGCACCCAUCUCUCUGCGGGGUGUGCCCGGUGAGGCCAGGCAGUGUGACUACACCGGCCAGUACUACUGCAGCCACUGCCACUGGAACGACCUGGCUGUCAUCCCUGCACGCGUGGUGCACAACUGGGACUUCGAGCCUCGAAAGGUGUCUCGCUGCAGCAUGCGCUACCUGGCGCUGAUGGUGUCUCGGCCCGUGCUCAGGCUCCGGGAGAUCAACCCUCUGCUGUUCAACUACGUGGAGGAGCUGGUGGAGAUUCGCAAGCUGCGCCAGGACAUCCUGCUCAUGAAGCCAUACUUCAUCACAUGCAGGGAGGCCAUGGAGGCUCGUCUGUUGCUGCAGGUCAGACUGCCAGCGGGACUGGCGCCCGAUGGGAAGUGCAGCCAGGGCAGUGAGGCACCUCUGGCUCAGGUCUUUUCCAGACAGCUUGUGCAUGGAGUGCCUUUAGCAGAGGGUCUCCUCACCAUGGUCCCAAGGAACAAAGCAAACAGGCGUUCAGCCCACGAAAGAGUUCUCCCAUUUGUUCAGUUCGGGAAACCCUGUAGCCUUUAUGUGAAUCUCCAUAGGGGUGGGUCCAGCCCAGCCCUCCUCAGGCCGAUUGAACACAAAAACAAUUUUCAAGGUUCAUCUAAUCAUUUAUUCAACAGAUACAGAUGUUCUAGAUUCUGGAACAGUGAACGAAACAGGCAGGAAGGCUUGCCCUUAGAGAGUGCCUCUCAAGUAGGGAAGACAAGAAAAAUAAGUUGUGUGUUGGCGUGGUGAGCUGUGUGACAAGACAGAGAAGGAAGGGUGGGGAACACGGGGAUGCAGUGUGGCUGGGAGGGGCUGCACUGGGGAGUGGACCCGGCUACACGGGUCAGGAAAUGUGGCCCAGGUCCAUCUUCCCCUGUUGGCUUCCUGGGGCUCCUGGAUUCUGCUCCCGGGGCCCAGACCCUUCUGUAGCUCGUUUCUCUGUGGACACCCGGGCCCUGACCACUGGAGUGACCAUGGGUGGGCAGUGGGAGGGGCCCUCCCCAGUGCAGGGGUCACAGCUGCUGGGACUUGGCAGCUCCAGGAUCGGCAGCAUUUUGUGGAGAACGACGAGAUGUACUCUGUCCAGGACCUCCUGGACGUUCAUGCCGGCCGUCUGGGCUGCUCGCUCACCGAGAUCCACACGCUCUUCGCCAAGCACAUCAAGCUGGACUGCGAGCGGUGCCAGGCCAAGGGCUUCGUGUGUGAGCUCUGCAGAGAGGGCGAUGUGCUGUUCCCGUUCGACAGCCACACGUCUGUGUGCACUGACUGCUCUGCCGUCUUCCACAGGGACUGCUACUACGACAACUCCACCACGUGCCCCAAGUGUGCCCGGCUCAGCCUGAGGAAGCAGUCGCUCUUCCAGGAGCCAGGUCCCGACGUGGAGGCCUAGCACUGAGGAAGAGUGCUGGGCACCCUGCCUGGCCCGCCGGGACCCACCCUGCCAACGUCAAGUUUUUCGUCCUGCUCUGGAGACCCCUGGGGUGUGGCCCCUGGACCCCUCCACCCCUGCUGGGUGGGCAGUGUCGAGGACUGAGGGGGUGGGUAGUGUCAGGGACCAUUGUCUCCCAGUGCUUGCUGGGACUCGGGGCGGCCGCACCUGGGUGUGCUGCUGUGAGGGGUCCUUGUGUGGCCCCCAUCCUUCCCCCGGUGGGCAGUGAGUUGGGGGGACAUCUCACCUCCCCCAUGGCACAGAACCCUCCACACCCCUGGACCAGGGCAUCUGGGCCCUAGAGAUUCCACAGCUCCCGUCCUGGCCACCCUGGAAAUUCAUCAGGCCAAGAUCCCGAGAGAGCUGCAGAGGAGUGUUGAGUAACACCUGAGGCUGUGGCUGCACACACCCCGCCAAGGGCUGGGUCUUACCUGUGGUGGGGUUUCAGCUCUGCCUGGAGGCUCCAUCCCUUUCAGCCACUCGUCGCCUUGGGGACUUCUGGUUGUCCCCAGCUGAGGCUGUUCACAGUUGUCACCUGUAGACCUGCCUCUACCCUGGCCUGAGAUUCAAAGGCCUCAUUGGGUGGUCAGUUCAGUGGGGUUACCUGUUGUUUCUGUACAGCAGCAGGGAAGGGGGCCAUGGAGCUUUUGGAGCUGCCAUGGAGCUGCCUUGACCCAGCCCCUUUCCUGGUGCUCCAAGCUAGGAGGCCGUGGCUUCAGCCUGAGGAGGGUGUCCUGGCCUCCAGGUGUGGAGCAGGGACUGUGUGCUGUGGGAGGUUUCAGUUAGGCGAUGGGAUCCUACAGGGGUCUGAUGGCAUUUCUUGGAACCAGAUUUGCCUGAGGAACUCUGUCCUGCUGCCUGUGGAGGGCUCUAGAUAGCUCGGAAACGACCAGCCAGUGGCCUUUUGUUUGGGGGCCUGAGGUCAAGAGCUGAGAGUAUUUGCUCGACAGCCCAUUCAGGAAGAUCAGGGCAGGGGCAUGUGGGAGGUCCCUCACUCCACAGGACCGAGGCCCCUGGACAGCAGAGGAAACCUACAGCUCUGGGUGAGGGGACACUUGGCUUUGGUGUUUGCACUUUACAGAUCCUGCGGUCCACGAGGGGCCUCAGGAGAGGACAUGUCAGGGCAUGGCUUCCCAGCCUUCUACCUUGGGAAGUGGGGAUGCUCCUGUCUGUCCUUUUCCCCCACACCCUGGACUGCACUUGGCUGUUGGUGCACAUGGUUGGCACACAUGGUGGGCAGAGGGCAGAGAAUGUCACUGCUUGGAUAUUUGUCCCCUUUGACCAGGAAGCCCAAGAGGAGACACCUCAGCCAGCAGAAAGGCCACCCAGCUCACUGGCUCAUUCCAGGAGCGGGAGAGAUGGCAGGGUCUCCUCUUUGCCCUCCGCCGUCAGGAAGGGGAUGGUGUCCUCUUCCGACUGUGGUGGCUUUAGGCGAGGUUCUUACCGUCUGCUCUGCCUCGGUUUCCCCAUCUGGAAAAUGGGGGCGGGGUACUGACCUACCUCAGGUGGCAAGGUGAGCAGGGAACAUGUUGGAGUCCUUUAGAGAGUGUGAUGUGAGGUUGGAUCAACAUUGUGGGCUCCUGUCCUGCUUCCCCUUCCUCUUUGGGGCUGAGGAGGGGGUUAAAGGCCAAAUGCUGUUUCCCAACACCCCGAAGUCUGCACAUGUCUCAUGAGUGCAUCACACUUCUGUCAUAUGGAUAUUAGCCAUUCCAAAAUCUGUGUAAUCAACUUCACAUUAUUCAAGUUACAAAUCACUGUGUCCAUAGAAAAACUAUGCUGGCAUUUGCUGGACAACGGGUUGGGCCCCUUUUAUUUUUACCUGCCACCCAGCAUCUCCCCCACCUGCCCCUUCUGGGUGACACAGUCUGUAAACAGAAUCAUGUAUGGGUCUUUGUCUGAGUCUGUAGCACAACAGGAAAAGCCCAGCAAGGACCCAGUUUGCACCGCCAGCACCCACACCAUGGGUGGUCCCACAGCACGGGACCAAGCUGGCCUGAGGGAUGCCCAGUUGUAACAAUGCUGCUGUCACUGUCUCAUUAAAUAUAUGUCCUUUC